This 418-nucleotide long non-coding RNA is filed under the name Brassica napus (rape). RNAcentral's name for it is "long non-coding RNA (BNAP_LNC006821)". The record is from RNAcentral. Lineage: Eukaryota; Viridiplantae; Streptophyta; Magnoliopsida; Brassicales; Brassicaceae.
CACAUUGAAUGUGCAUAAUUUUUUGUGAUUAUAUUUUUCUAUAAUUUUAAGCCAAUAAAAAUCCAAUAAGUACAAUUAAGUUUUUUUGAAAUUUUCAAUUGGUUAAUAAAACAUGUAUUGAAGAUGCAAAAAUAGAUCUUUUUGAAAUAAUAUUUUUUCUAGAAUAUGUAACUUUAUGAAAUGGAAGGAGUAAUUUGUAAUUGUUUUAAUUUUAAUACAAAUUUUAGAAUAUUGAAAUAACUUUUAUGUUAGUUUCUUAUUUUAUUCUGACCAAGUAGUAAAAUAAUAUAAUUUAUUCUACUUUCUCCUUUUAUUCAAAAUUUUGUUUGAAAAUCCAGAAGACACUCAUAAAUUGAAGUAUAAAUAACAUUGUUAAUUUGACGAUUGCAUGAGUUUUCUCGGUCGCACACCCAUCAAA